Molecule: ribosomal RNA, 484 nt
Filed under: uncultured bacterium
Lineage: Bacteria
Description: partial 16S ribosomal RNA
Rfam family: Bacterial small subunit ribosomal RNA
Source: RNAcentral
AUUGAACGCUGGCUGCAGGCCUAACACAUGCAAGUCGAGCGGAUGAAGGGAGCUUGCUCCUGGAUUCAGCGGCGGACGGGUGAGUAAUGCCUAGGAAUCUGCCUGGUAGUGGGGGAUAACGUCCGGAAACGGGCGCUAAUACCGCAUACGUCCUGAGGGAGAAAGUGGGGGAUCUUCGGACCUCACGCUAUCAGAUGAGCCUAGGUCGGAUUAGCUAGUUGGUGGGGUAAAGGCCUACCAAGGCGACGAUCCGUAACUGGUCUGAGAGGAUGAUCAGUCACACUGGACCUGAGACACGGUCCAGACUACUACGGGAGGCAGCAGUGGGGAGUAUUGGACUAUGGGCGAAAGCCUGAUCCAGCCAUGCCGCGUGUGUGAAGAAGGUAUUCGGAUUGUAGAGCACUUUAAGUUGGGAGGAAGGGCAGUAAGUUAAUACCGUGCUGUUUUGACGUUACCAACAGAAUAAGCACCGGCUAACUUCGUG